Molecule: ribosomal RNA, 301 nt
Filed under: uncultured bacterium
Lineage: Bacteria
Description: partial 16S ribosomal RNA
Rfam family: Bacterial small subunit ribosomal RNA
Source: RNAcentral
CAGUAGCCGCGGUAAUACGUAGGUGGCAAGCGUUGUCCGGAAUUAUUGGGCGUAAAGGGCUCGCAGGCGGUUUCUUAAGUCUGAUGUGAAAGCCCCCGGCUCAACCGGGGAGGGUCAUUGGAAACUGGGAAACUUGAGUGCAGAAGAGGAGAGUGGAAUUCCACGUGUAGCGGUGAAAUGCGUAGAGAUGUGGAGGAACACCAGUGGCGAAGGCGACUCUCUGGUCUGUAACUGACGCUGAGGAGCGAAAGCGUGGGGAGCGAACAGGAUUAGAUACCCGCGUAGUCCCUGUCUCUUAUAA